UGGGGAAUUUUGGACAAUGGGCGAAAGCCUGAUCCAGCAAUGCCGCGUGUGUGAAGAAGGCCUUCGGGUUGUAAAGCACUUUUGUCCGGAAAGAAAUCCUUGGCUCUAAUACAGUCGGGGGAUGACGGUACCGGAAGAAUAAGCACCGGCUAACUACGUGCCAGCAGCCGCGGUAAUACGUAGGGUGCAAGCGUUAAUCGGAAUUACUGGGCGUAAAGCGUGCGCAGGCGGUUUGCUAAGACCGAUGUGAAAUCCCCGGGCUCAACCUGGGAACUGCAUUGGUGACUGGCAGGCUAGAGUAUGGCAGAGGGGGGUAGAAUUCCACGUGUAGCAGUGAAAUGCGUAGAGAUGUGGAGGAAUACCGAUGGCGAAGGCAGCCCCCUGGGCCAAUACUGACGCUCAUGCACGAAAGCGUGGGGAGCAAACAGGAUUAGAUACCCUGGUAGUCCCACGCCCUAAACGAUGUCAACUAGUUGUUGGGGAUUCAUUUCCUUAGUAACGUACUAACGCGUGAAGUUGACCGCCUGGGGAGUACGGUCGCAAGAUUAAAACUUAAAGGAAUUGACGGGGUCAUAGCUG
Molecule: ribosomal RNA, 579 nt
Filed under: uncultured bacterium
Lineage: Bacteria
Description: partial 16S ribosomal RNA
Rfam family: Bacterial small subunit ribosomal RNA
Source: RNAcentral